Molecule: long non-coding RNA, 1357 nt
Organism: Fukomys damarensis (Damara mole-rat)
Lineage: Eukaryota; Metazoa; Chordata; Mammalia; Rodentia; Bathyergidae
Exons: 4
Source: RefSeq, a predicted model, not a curated record
ACAGGGCACUUAUCUCCUUGGUGUGGACUGCAACUGUGACAUAAAUCCUGAAAGCCAUGUCCUUAUCCCCAGGUGAAUGUGGCCCCUUCUUGUCAUGGAUUAAUACAGAAGCUUGAUGGAUGCUGACUCCAGUUCACCAGUUUUGACCUGUUCUGAACUCUGGUCUCUGCCACUAGGAUAUCAGCAGAAGGAGAGUGAGGUGCAGGUAUUUGUGUCACUGAUCUCUUCUCUGUGUGGGCUUGGUUCUGUCCCUCAACAGUUAGUCACUGUCCUCCCCAAGUUGAGAUUUUGGUAGUAUUAGUAUAUUUCUUUAGAUAUCAUUUAUCUAUCUCUGUCUAAUGAAUCAUAUCAGUUAAUGUCUGGCACAAAUGUUUAUCAAUAACAUUUAUUAAUAAACAUGUAUAAACUCACAAUUUCUGUGAGUCAGGAAUCCAGUGUUGGUUUUCUUCGAUGUCUUUGUCUCGGGGUCUUUCAUGAGAUUGUGGUCAAGCUGUUGGCCAGGGCUUCCCUAGUCAAGACUCACCAGAGUUGAGACGUCUUUUCAAGAUGGUUAUUGGCAGGCUUCAGUCCCAUGAAAGCUGUAAGAUGGAGUGCCUCGGGUCUCACCAAAAGGGCCAUGUGGAUGCCUCCAUGGGCUUCUCAUAACAUGGUACCUGAGUUCUCCAAGUUCAAAUUACAGCAGACAGCAGUAGUGAGGGAGAGAACCAGAAUAAGGACCACAGGCAAAUUAAAAAUAAUCUUUGAUAUAGGAUGUCAUCAUUUUUUUUUCAUUAUUCACUCAUUAGAAGUGACUUACAAAGUGCAGCCCAUACUCAAGAGAAAAUGAACGCAUACGGAUCUGAAUACCAGAGGAGGACCUGUGAGGUAUGGGAGCAGACACCACUCAUCUGACAAGCUGGAUCUUUGUGUCAUCAACAAAAAACAUUCUUUGCAAAGAUUUCAGGGACACAUGAAAAUCAAGUUCAGGGAUGUCAUUAGAAAGAUGAAAGGAUUGAGAAAACAAGGGUUUACUCAGGAAGAUCGCUAAGGUCAAUUGCAAGGUGUAGAAGACUCACCCUAGGGAGGUUUGCUGCCAGAAUGGUAUAAAAGGGAAACAAAUGAAGGCUUGCUUCUGUUUCCUCGGGGAGCUCCAGUCUUUGCCUUGGACUCCUUUCCUGGCUUCGGCACAGACUCUUCAGCCUCUGGAUGCAGACCCUUCGGCCUCCUAAUAUGGACUUACGUGGGACACUCCAGUGGGCUCCAGGCCUUCGACUAGAUCCUUUGGAUCCCCCUCAGGCAGAAGACCUUUUGCAUUCUGCCACAUCUGACUCUGUGGGUGGCCACUGUAAGCUAAUGUUAUAAAUUCUUAUAUAUUUCU